Molecule: ribosomal RNA, 468 nt
Filed under: uncultured bacterium
Lineage: Bacteria
Description: partial 16S ribosomal RNA
Rfam family: Bacterial small subunit ribosomal RNA
Source: RNAcentral
GACGAACGCUGGCGGCGUGCUUAACACAUGCAAGUCGAACGGAAGGGCCCUGCUUUUGUGGGGUGCUCGAGUGGCGAACGGGUGAGUAACACGUGAGUAACCUGCCCUUGACUUUGGGAUAACUUCAGGAAACUGGGGCUAAUACCGGAUAGGAGCUCCUGCUGCAUGGUGGGGGUUGGAAAGUUUCGGCGGUUGGGGAUGGACUCGCGGCUUAUCAGCUUGUUGGUGGGGUAGUGGCUUACCAAGGCUUUGACGGGUAGCCGGCCUGAGAGGGUGACCGGCCACAUUGGGACUGAGAUACGGCCCAGACUCCUACGGGAGGCAGCAGUGGGGAAUAUUGCACAAUGGGCGGAAGCCUGAUGCAGCAACGCCGCGUGCGGGAUGACGGCCUUAGGGUUGUAAACCGCUUUCGCCUGUGACGAAGCGUGAGUGACGGUAAUGGGUAAAGAAGCACCGGCUAACUACGUG